RNAcentral lists this ribosomal RNA (462 nucleotides) under Streptococcus constellatus. RNAcentral describes it as "bacterial SSU rRNA". It matches the Rfam family "Bacterial small subunit ribosomal RNA", at positions 28 to 468 of the family's 1533-position model. The record is from RNAcentral. Lineage: Bacteria; Bacillati; Bacillota; Bacilli; Lactobacillales; Streptococcaceae.
GACGAACGCUGGCGGCGUGCCUAAUACAUGCAAGUAGAACGCACAGGAUGCACCGUAGUUUACUACACCGUAUUCUGUGAGUUGCGAACGGGUGAGUAACGCGUAGGUAACCUGCCUGGUAGCGGGGGAUAACUAUUGGAAACGAUAGCUAAUACCGCAUAAGAACAUUUACUGCAUGGUAGAUGUUUAAAAGGUGCAAAAGCAUCACUACCAGAUGGACCUGCGUUGUAUUAGCUAGUUGGUGAGGUAACGGCUCACCAAGGCAACGAUACAUAGCCGACCUGAGAGGGUGAUCGGCCACACUGGGACUGAGACACGGCCCAGACUCCUACGGGAGGCAGCAGUAGGGAAUCUUCGGCAAUGGGGGGAACCCUGACCGAGCAACGCCGCGUGAGUGAAGAAGGUUUUCGGAUCGUAAAGCUCUGUUGUUAAGGAAGAACGUGUGGAGAGGGAAAGUUCACA